UACGUAGGGUGCAAGCGUUGUCCGGAAUUAUUGGGCGGAAAGAGCUCGUAGGUGGCCUGUCGCGUCGGCUGUGAAAACUCGGGGCUCAACUCCGAGCUUGCAGUCGAUACGGGCAGGCUAGAGUUCGGCAGGGGAGACUGGAAUUCCUGGUGUAGCGGUGAAAUGCGCAGAUAUCAGGAGGAACACCGGUGGCGAAGGCGGGUCUCUGGGCCGAUACUGACACUGAGGAGCGAAAGCGUGGGGAGCAAACAGG
RNAcentral lists this ribosomal RNA (253 nucleotides) under uncultured bacterium. RNAcentral's name for it is "partial 16S ribosomal RNA". It matches the Rfam family "Bacterial small subunit ribosomal RNA", at positions 524 to 776 of the family's 1533-position model. The record is from RNAcentral.